Molecule: long non-coding RNA, 1240 nt
Filed under: Pogona vitticeps (central bearded dragon)
Lineage: Eukaryota; Metazoa; Chordata; Lepidosauria; Squamata; Agamidae
Description: lncRNA (ENSPVIG00000012187.1)
Source: RNAcentral
GAACCCCUUAAAAUAUGUGCCUGGGGAUGGGACAGAGUCACAUUUGCCAUCAGGCCUGACUCUACUGAGGGAGGCAGCUCAAAUCCAGGGAAAACCAAGCUUCCAGGGGUGUUGUUGUUUUCUGGCUCAGGGUCUGAUCCUCAUUCUUCAUCCUGCAGAUAUGUGGUGUCCUGAAUGCUGUCUAUGAUGUGGCAAAGGCGUCUCUCUUGGACACUAUGAAUGUGCCCCUUCCUUUGGGCCCCUACGCAACUCUGAGGUGUGCGCUGGCAGGGCUGCCCUCUGUCUUUGGCACCUACGCUGCUGUAGAUAUAUAUGUAAGUAUCAAUGAAGUUGAUGGAUGAGUGAUGUCCUUCUGAGGCAUGAGACCUCACCUAUUCGCCCUCCAACCCCAUUAUCACUAAACCUCAGAGAGAAUCAAAUGUCUGCCCUUAUUCCUAAGUGAAGACACAACAGGCUGCCAUUUUCUGUUCCUUUCCAGAUCGAUGUUGAGGUGCCAGGCAAGGGGAUUCUCUCCAUUCCUGACUCAGCCGGCUCCAUCAAGGUGCCUUCCCUCAACAACUUUAAGUACUGCCAGUCUUUCCAUCCGGAACUCUUCAACAUUGUGCUGUCUGUUUUAGCUCCAAAGGAGCCCCAAGAACUGAGCUGCACCCCAGACAAGUUCCGUGGAGCGGAUGACUUGAGGAACGCCAUUUUGGCUCUUGUCCCUGCUGAGAAACAUGGACAUAUUUUUGCGAUUUCCUUGUACAUCAGGAUUUCCGUGGAGGUGAAUCCAGUGAUUGUUUUUGGACCUGAUGGCAUCGUCAUCUCUGCCGGUCUCAGAGUUGAGUUCUUCCUCAAGAACAAAGAUGGUUCUGUCUAUUCAGUCCUCAUUAUAAGGAGUGUAAGUAGCAUCCGCCAAAUAACAGGCUCAGCAGGUUCUGCUCAGCACCACAAAGGCCCUCAACACCACCGGCUUCUGCCAUGUCGCCUGGAAGUCUGUGUGUGGGGGAAGUUUUCCAGUUGGAUCAAGCCUUGCUUCCCACUGACUGUUUUGGACUUUGUCAAAUGUAUAUUCGUAGGAUGUCACCUUGAGUGCUGUGGUAUCCCUGGUGAAAGGAAGACUGAUCUUUGUGGUGUCUGUUUCCAGGUAAAAAGCCAUUCCUUUUAGUCGUCCGUCUUCCAUCCAGGAUCAGAUUUGAGCAAGAAGAGGCAACGGUGUGAAGGUUUCUACAUGAAACCAUCGUAGGAGGACAUUUGUCCU